This is a long non-coding RNA of Daphnia magna, 884 nucleotides long. RefSeq lists it as uncharacterized. The record is from RefSeq and is a predicted model, not a curated record. The transcript has 2 exons. NCBI's taxonomy places the organism in Eukaryota, Metazoa, Arthropoda, Branchiopoda, Diplostraca, Daphniidae.
AACCAAUCGAUCUGAAAAUUGGCUUAUGCAGUAGAAGCCCUUCCCUUCAGUCAGCGUUUGUCACGUUACCUGGGAGCGUCGAAUCGUUGAAAAUGUCCGAUGCUUCCAAAUCCAAAGCUUGAUUUCGUACGAAGACAACUGAAGCAUUAUAUUUUCUUGAAAAACAGGCAACUGUAGAUUAUUACCUCACCCUAGUCUUUCAAGUGCUUUAUUUCUACAGCUUUGCACUCCGUCAGCAACGAAGCGGCAUUUGCUUAUUACGGAAAUAUAAAAUCGUAGUUCUUUAUUACAACGGCCACCACGUAUUUCAAGCAAGGUUCGGUGGCAAUUACCUGUCCAAAGUUUGAUAAGUGCUGUUUCAUUUUAAGUUUUAUAGAUAAGGUUCUCACUUGAUGUUGCUUAGCUGGUAGUUUUCUGAGUUUACUAACUCAUUUUACCCCCUAGUGCAAGAUAAAUUUUUUUGAAUAUCAUGUGUCAAACAUUAAGAAAUCAAUCCAAUUACUUUAACACAAACAGCCAGCAUACUGUGUGCUCUGUGAAGACAGUGUCUUUUAACUUUCACAUGAAUUCUUGUGAAUUUGUAGCUAUGUGGUUAACCCUAUUUCAAUUCAGAAUUGUUAGAAGGUAAAUUUAAUUCCAUAAUCUGACAGCUUACUUGAAUAAAAUCUUAGUGCCAGAAAUAAGCCUUAGUUCAGCCAGCACAUAUAACAUUGUCAUGAGCUGAUCUUCUUUGCACUGUUUGGAGCAUUGGGUUUACUUGUUGUUUUGCAAAGUGGACUUAAAUUCUGGUGCCUCUUCCUUCCCACGUGUCAUUUUUCUGCCCAAGGGAAUAAUCGAAAAUGCUUCAGAGGAUAGGUUCAAAUAAAACAAAACGAAGCCAUGAA